GCGCAGAUGGCGAAGUGGUUAACGCGCUCGGUUGCAGCCCGAGUAUUUCCUGGGUUCGAAUCCCAGUCUGCGCU
RNAcentral lists this transfer RNA (74 nucleotides) under Nanobdellota archaeon. RNAcentral describes it as "tRNA-Cys". It matches the Rfam family "tRNA". Rfam says of the family: Transfer RNA (tRNA) molecules are approximately 80 nucleotides in length. Their secondary structure includes four short double-helical elements and three loops (D, anti-codon, and T loops). The record is from RNAcentral. Lineage: Archaea; Nanobdellati; Nanobdellota.